This 429-nucleotide ribosomal RNA is filed under the name Chloroflexota bacterium. RNAcentral describes it as "Chloroflexi bacterium partial 16S ribosomal RNA". It matches the Rfam family "Bacterial small subunit ribosomal RNA", at positions 355 to 776 of the family's 1533-position model. The record is from RNAcentral. Lineage: Bacteria; Bacillati; Chloroflexota.
UGGGGAAUAUUGCACAAUGGGCGCAAGCCUGAUGCAGCCAUGCCGCGUGUGUGAAGAAGGCCUUCGGGUUGUAAAGCACUUUCAGCGGGGAGGAAGGCGUUAAGGUUAAUAACCUUGGCGAUUGACGUUACCCGCAGAAGAAGCACCGGCUAACUCCGUGCCAGCAGCCGCGGUAAUACGGAGGGUGCAAGCUUUAAUCGGAAUUACUGGGCGUAAAGCGCACGCAGGCGGUCUGUCAAGUCGGAUGUGAAAUCCCCGGGCUCAACCUGGGAACUGCAUUCGAAACUGGCAGGCUAGAGUCUUGUAGAGGGGGGUAGAAUUCCAGGUGUAGCGGUGAAAUGCGUAGAGAUCUGGAGGAAUACCGGUGGCGAAGGCGGCCCCCUGGACAAAGACUGACGCUCAGGUGCGAAAGCGUGGGGAGCAAACAGG